AUUGAACGCUGGCGGCGUGCUUAACACAUGCAAGUCGUGCGGUAACAGGCGUAGCAAUACGUGCUGACGAGCGGCGAACGGGUGCGUAAUACAUGGGAAUCUGCCUUUUAGUGGGGAAUAACCCGGCGAAAGCCGGGCUAAUGCCGCAUAAGAUCUUCGGAUGAAAGCGGGGGAUCGUAAGACCUCGCGCUGAUAGAUGAGCCCAUGCCGGAUUAGCUAGNGGUGAGGUAACGGCUCACCAAGGCGACGAUCCGUAGCUGGUCUGAGAGGACGGCCAGCCACACUGGGACUGAGACACGGCCCAGACUCCUACGGGAGGCAGCAGGUGGGGAAUCUUGCGCAAGUGGGACGAAAGCCUGACGCAGCGACGCCGCGU
RNAcentral lists this ribosomal RNA (376 nucleotides) under uncultured bacterium. RNAcentral's name for it is "bacterial SSU rRNA". It matches the Rfam family "Bacterial small subunit ribosomal RNA", at positions 29 to 402 of the family's 1533-position model. The record is from RNAcentral.